UGGGGGUAUACUUGAUACACAUUCACGGA
Molecule: non-coding RNA, 29 nt
Filed under: Mus musculus (house mouse)
Lineage: Eukaryota; Metazoa; Chordata; Mammalia; Rodentia; Muridae
Source: RNAcentral